GUCUUUUCUGAUGGAAGGAUAAUAUUUGCGGACUGUUAUUAUAAUAAGAGAUUAGUGAUCGUACAAAGUGAUGGAACUUUAGACACUGAAAUACAUCUUUCGCCUCUAGAACCGUUUGAUGUGACAUGCAUCGAUGACAAAACAGUAGCUGUUACAACGUAUUCUAAAAAUACAAUUGUCAUUGUAGACACGGAGAACAAACAAGUUACAAAAAGAAUUAACACAGGCACAUGUCGCGGUAUAACAUACAGACAAGGGCAGCUAUUCUACUGUAAAAUAGGAAAAGGGAUCCAAGCGAUAAACGUAUCAAACAAUAAAGUAAUCACUAUAGUAGAAGAUAAAACCUUAGAGACUUAUUGCAGUUAUAUUACAACCUCUGGGGAGAACAUUUACUAUACUGAUUAUCAUUCUACUGUCAAAUGCUACAGUUUAAGGG
Molecule: long non-coding RNA, 436 nt
Filed under: Mytilus galloprovincialis (Mediterranean mussel)
Lineage: Eukaryota; Metazoa; Mollusca; Bivalvia; Mytilida; Mytilidae
Source: RNAcentral